Molecule: ribosomal RNA, 508 nt
Filed under: uncultured bacterium
Lineage: Bacteria
Description: partial 16S ribosomal RNA
Rfam family: Bacterial small subunit ribosomal RNA
Source: RNAcentral
GACGAACGCUGGCGGCGUGCUUAACACAUGCAAGUCGAACGGGCCUUGUCCCCUUUUUUUUUGGGGGUGGGGUUAGUGGCGAACGGGUGAGUAACACGUGAGUAACCUGCCCCUCACUUCUGGAUAACCGCUUGAAAGGGUGGCUAAUACGGGGUGUUCUGGCCUGCUCGCAUGGGUGGGUUUGGAAAGAUUCGACCGGUUUUGGUUGUUUUGGUGGGGGAUGGGCUCGCGGCCUAUCAGCUUGUUGGUGGGGGGAUGGCCUGCCAAGGCUUUGACGGGUAGCCGGCCUGAGAGGGUGGGCGGUCACACUGGGACUGAGACACGGCCCAGACUCCUACGGGAGGCAGCAGUGGGGAAUAGUGCACAAUGGGCGCAAGCCUGAUGCAGCGACGCCGCGUGAGGGAUGGAGGCCUUCGGGUUGUGAACCUCUUUCGCCAGUGAAGAAGGUCCUGCUCUUUGUGGUGGGGUUGACGGUAGCUGGGUUAAUGAAGCGCCGGCUAACUACGUG